Molecule: non-coding RNA, 73 nt
Organism: Potamilus streckersoni
Lineage: Eukaryota; Metazoa; Mollusca; Bivalvia; Unionida; Unionidae
Source: the annotation of a GenBank genome assembly
GAUCCGGUGGCAUAGUGGUUAGAGCGUCCGCCUCAAAUGCGGGAGGUCGUGGGUUCGAUCCCCGGUCGAGUCA